RNAcentral lists this ribosomal RNA (498 nucleotides) under uncultured bacterium. RNAcentral's name for it is "partial 16S ribosomal RNA". It matches the Rfam family "Bacterial small subunit ribosomal RNA", at positions 30 to 523 of the family's 1533-position model. The record is from RNAcentral.
AUUGAACGCUGGCGGCAUGCUUUACACAUGCAAGUCGAACGGUAACAGGCCGCAAGGUGCUGACGAGUGGCGAACGGGUGAGUAAUGCAUCGGAACGAGCCCAGUCGUGGGGGAUAACUAUCCGAAAGGAUAGCUAAUACCGCAUACGAUCUGCGGAUGAAAGCGGGGGACCUUCGGGCCCCGCGCGAUUGGAGCGGCCGAUGUCAGAUUAGGUAGUUGGUGGGGUAAAGGCUCACCAAGCCAACGAUCUGUAGCUGGUCUGAGAGGACGACCAGCCACACUGGGACUGAGACACGGCCCAGACUCCGACGGGAGGCAGCAGUGGGGAAUUUUGGACAAUGGGCGCAAGCCUGAUCCAGCAAUGCCGCGUGCAGGAAGAAGGCCUUCGGGUUGUAAACUGCUUUUGUACGGAACGAAACGGCUCUGGUUAAUACCUGGGGCUAAUGACGGUACCGUAAGAAUAAGCACCGGCUAACUACGUGCCAGCAGCCGCCGUAA